CAGCAAGUGCUGGUGACAGGGCAGGCUCAGAGCAAUGCCUGUGACACCACGGGUCCAUGUCAGAGAGGGGCACUGUGAGCUCAGGGCAGAGGGGCUGACCCCAGCGCUCACGGAACCCCCCGCUGCCACUCUCGAGCUACCAUGGCAGAGAGAAUUCCUCCACGCACGCUGACGGUGCUUCCGACACCCGACGCCGCUUUACGUGGAUCCUUCGUGCCUCCACCGGCCACUGCUGCAAUGCAGCCCAGCAUUGGCGGAGCAGUGCCGGUGUCCUUCCAACCCCUCCACGUCCCCACUGUCACCUACGUGGUGCCUCAGGCCUCUGUCUGGCCUGGGGUGCCGGGUGUCCAGGGACAGGGAGCGCAGCUGCCACCUGGGGGGAUGCCCCCAGCCGUGGUUCAGCUGCCACCUGGGGGCAUGUCCCCAACUGUGGUUCAGUUGCCACCUGGGGGCAUGUCCUCAACUGUGGUUCAGUUGCCACCUGGGGGCAUGUCCUCAACUGUGGUUCAGUUGCCACCUGGGGUGAUGCCUCUAAUGAUGGGUCAGCUGCCACCUGGGGGGAUGCCCCCAGCCGUGGUUCAGUUGCCACCUGGGGGCAUGUCCCCAGCUGUGCUUCAGCUGCCACCUGCGGGGAUGCCCACAGUUGUCAGUCAGCUCCCAGCUGGGGGCAUGUCCCCAGCUGUGCUUCAGCUGCCACCUGCGGGGAUGCCCACAGUUGUCAGUCAGCUCCCAGCUGGGGGGAUGCUCCCAAACUUUGGUCAGCUGCCACCUGGGGGGCAGCAGUUACCCCUGGUCACGCUCCUACCUGGAGAGAUGAAGCCAGGUAUGCCUGCCCCCCGCGCCCCUGCCCGCUGCUGGGAACAUCCCCUGGUGGCAGGGACGCAGCAGCCCCAGCAACCGAUGGAGCUGCGGCCUGGGGCUGUGUUGCACGGGGAGCCCCCGCAGCCCGCAGACAGCUGCCCGCCGCAGGGCCCCGACCGCCCCGGCCCCUCAACAGUCCUCCGAGGAGCUCCAGUGUGCCCCCGUCCCACCACGGCUCCGCUCACCUGCAGCACCGCAGCGCUGGAAUCAGG
This 1073-nucleotide long non-coding RNA is filed under the name Meleagris gallopavo (turkey). Its description in RNAcentral is "lncRNA (ENSMGAG00000018143.1)". The record is from RNAcentral. Lineage: Eukaryota; Metazoa; Chordata; Aves; Galliformes; Phasianidae.